UACAGGGGGUGCUAGCGUUGUUCGGAAUUACUGGGCGUAAAGGGCGCGUAGGCGGUCUGAUAAGUCAGGAGUGAAAUCCCGGAGCUUAACUUCGGAAUUGCUUUUGAAACUAUUAGGCUAGAGUAUGUUAGAGGAAAUCGGAAUUCCUAGUGUAGAAGUGAAAUUCGUAGAUAUUAGGAAGAACACCGGUGGCGAAGGCGGAUUUCUGGGACAUAACUGACGCUGAGGCGCGAAAGCGUGGGGAUCAAACAGG
Molecule: ribosomal RNA, 253 nt
Filed under: uncultured bacterium
Lineage: Bacteria
Description: partial 16S ribosomal RNA
Rfam family: Bacterial small subunit ribosomal RNA
Source: RNAcentral